ACGGGAAUUACUUUAUUGAAACUUCGGUCGAUUUAAUUUAAUUCUAGUGGCGGACGGGUGAGUAACGCGUGGGUAACCUGCCUUGUACAGGGGGAUAACAGUCAGAAAUGACUGCUAAUACCGCAUAAGCGCACAGGACCGCAUGGUCCGGUGUGAAAAACUCCGGUGGUAUAAGAUGGACCCGCGUUGGAUUAGCUAGUUGGUGAGGUAACGGCCCACCAAGGCGACGAUCCAUAGCCGGCCUGAGAGGGUGAACGGCCACAUUGGGACUGAGACACGGCCCAGACUCCUACGGGAGGCAGCAGUGGGGAAUAUUGCACAAUGGGGGAAACCCUGAUGCAGCGACGCUGCGUGAAGGAAGAAGUAUCUCGGUAUGUAAACUUCUAUCAGCAGGGAAGAAUUAGGACGGUACCUGACUAAGAAGCCCCGGCUAACUACGUGCCAGCAGCCGCGGUAAUACGUAGGGGGCAAGCGUUAUCCGGAUUUACUGGGUGUAAAGGGAGCGUAGACGGAUGGACAAGUCUGAUGUGAAAGGCUGGGGCUCAACCCCGGGACUGCAUUGGAAACUGCCCGUCUUGAGUGCCGGAGAGGUAAGCGGAAUUCCUAGUGUAGCGGUGAAAUGCGUAGAUAUUAGGAGGAACACCAGUGGCGAAGGCGGCUUACUGGACGGUAACUGACGUUGAGGCUCGAA
Molecule: ribosomal RNA, 691 nt
Filed under: uncultured bacterium
Lineage: Bacteria
Description: bacterial SSU rRNA
Rfam family: Bacterial small subunit ribosomal RNA
Source: RNAcentral